This is a long non-coding RNA of Gossypium raimondii (Peruvian cotton), 1751 nucleotides long. RefSeq lists it as uncharacterized. NCBI's taxonomy places the organism in Eukaryota, Viridiplantae, Streptophyta, Magnoliopsida, Malvales, Malvaceae. The record is from RefSeq and is a predicted model, not a curated record. The transcript is spliced from 8 exons.
AUCAUUAGAGGAUGAUUUUAAAGUUGUUGUAGGGAUCAGUCCAAUCAUCUGGUUCAUUGCUGUCUUGUUCUUGCUUGCCUAUACACAUGGAUGGUAUUCAUAUUUAUGGCUACCUUUUAUCCCCUUAAUUCUGUGGAUUUCUUCAAUCAGGUGAAUCUGCUCUAUGGUACCCUCACUAAGUUUUGUACUCCUGAGAAUUGCCCUACAAUGACUGUAGGACCUAAGUAAGAGAUAUAAACUAGAUUCCUUUUGCCCUUUUCAAUAAAUUAGGCGUACAAUUCCUAAAUAUUAUUGUUUUCCCUCGUGACCUCUGUCGUGUUUGGAUCCAUUGAUGGUAUUGAAACCUUUUCUCUCAAACAAUGCAUGUGUUCAGUCUCUAAGGAUCUAGAUAAAUCGAAACUCCCUCAACUUGAAUUUAGGCUCUUUAUCUCUUUGAGCUAGAUGAUACUGUAUUAAUUUAUUUUUGUUAAAGUUAUAUAUAUCUGCCUUUUUUUUUUGAAUUUUGAUGUCAAAAUAUAUCAUAUAAUCUUGGCUGAUUAGUGGGAUAAGAGUUUGACUUUAUAUCAUGUUUUCUUUGAUUUGAUAGUCCUAGGUUAUGAUGAGAUGAUGUUUAUUAUUUUUAUUAUUAUUAUGAUUUGCCUUUGUCUUUUGUAAUAAUUUGAUUUUUGCCAUAUUUUAAAUGUCAGUAGAAAGACAUCAAAUAUGUUAAAGCUAAAGCUAUUAUAUUAUUGAUAUUUAAAUAUCUUUUGCUUUAAUUAUGAAAUUUUCAAACUUAGUAAAUAUGAGAUUCGUAUUGAUAGCUUAGAAUAUUUGUCUUGUAAAGAAGAGUUUAUGUAUUUGUAUUCAUAUUUAAAUAUUUUUCUUGUAAAGCAGUGCUUCGUGUGACAACAAACAUCGCUCGGGAAGGUCUCGUUAUUGGUUCCUAAUGUUUUUGCACUUGCAAAGCUUAUGAAUGUCAGUGAAGAUGAGUGUCAACUUUCUGCUAUAGCUUGGCAAGGUUCAGGUAGUGCUUGUCGGAGUUUGUUUGGUGGAUUCGUUAAGUGGAUUAUGGGAAAAGAGGAUGAUGGAAGUGAUAGUCUUGCAGUUCAACUAGUAGAUGAAAAACACUAGGAAGAUCUCUUCAUCAUUAUUGCUGUGGAGAGGUGCAGAGGGAUAGAGCUGCAGAGCUUUUGGGUUUGGGUGCAUGCAAUUUUCGCCACGACACUCAAUCAAACUUGGAAAUGAGUUUGGUGUUCACAAACUAUGACCCUGGGGAGAGAUUAGGAGGAUGGGAGCAAGAACAAUAGGUGCCUUUUUCUUGCCAUCGUUUGCUAGGAAUAUUUUCUCAUGGAUGAGCUUCAUGCAACCUAAUUUUAUCCAUUAUCAAGGCAUUUCCAACACUUACCCUUGGAAAAAUUAACCAGCCUUUCUGCUAAUUUUCCCAGAGAAAACAUGAAAACAUGUAGAUGAGAAAACUUCCAAGCAAGUUCAUCCUCAUAUUAUGCAUUUUGGUCUACUUUUUUAAACUAGUGCAAUUUUCCUCACUUGUGUAGAUUUCGUAAUACAUAAAACUAUUUAAGGUUGUUUAAAGUUGUACUGACUCAUGCCUACUCAUUGACAUUUUGAAAUGUAAUUAGGAAGUUGUUCCAAAACGCACAAUACAGAUGGAAGAAGCCAUACAAGUUUCUCAUAUGUAUUAUUUAUUUUAGUUUUGAUUCUAAUUUGUUAUUUUUACUUUAAUAUUUACGACAACUUGAGUUUUAACUUUUGUA